AUACGGAGGGUGCAAGCGUUGUUCGGAAUCACUGGGCGUAAAGGGCGCGCAGGCGGUUUGGUAAGUCAGAUGUGAAAGCCCACGGCUCAACCGUGGAAGUGCAUUUGAAACUGCCAGACUUGAGUACUAGAGGGGAAAGUGGAAUUCCCGGUGUAGGGGUGAAACUCGUAGAUAUCGGGAGGAAUACCGGUGGCGAAGGCGACUUUCUGGCUAGAUACUGACGCUGAGGCGCGAAAGCGUGGGGAGCAAACAGGAUUAGAAACCCCAGUAGUCC
RNAcentral lists this ribosomal RNA (274 nucleotides) under uncultured bacterium. RNAcentral's name for it is "partial 16S ribosomal RNA". It matches the Rfam family "Bacterial small subunit ribosomal RNA", at positions 523 to 796 of the family's 1533-position model. The record is from RNAcentral.